GCUGUCGGCAGGCCUAACACAUGCAAGUCGAACGGUAACAGGAAUCAGCUUGCUGAUUCGCUGACGAGUGGCGGACGGGUGAGUAAUGUCUGGGAAACUGCCUGAUGGAGGGGGAUAACUACUGGAAACGGUAGCUAAUACCGCAUAACGUCGCAAGACCAAAGAGGGGGACCUUCGGGCCUCUUGCCAUCGGAUGUGCCCAGAUGGGAUUAGCUAGUAGGUGGGGUAAAGGCUCACCUAGGCGACGAUCCCUAGCUGGUCUGAGAGGAUGACCAGCCACACUGGAACUGAGACACGGUCCAGACUCCUACGGGAGGCAGCAGUGGGGAAUAUUGCACAAUGGGCGCAAGCCUGAUGCAGCCAUGCCGCGUGUAUGAAGAAGGCCUUCGGGUUGUAAAGUACUUUCAGCGGGGAGGAAGGGAGUAAAGUUAAUACCUUUGCUCAUUGACGUUACCCGCAGAAGAAGCACCGGCUAACUCCGUGCCAGCAGCCGCGGUAAUACGGAGAGUGCAAGCGUUAAUCGGAAUUACUGGGCGUAAAGCGCACGCAGGCGGUUUGUUAAGUCAGAUGUGAAAUCCCCGGGCUCAACCUGGGAACUGCAUCUGAUACUGGCAAGCUUGAGUCUCGUAGAGGGGGGUAGAAUUCCAGGUGUAGCGGUGAAAUGCGUACAGAUUCUGGAAGGAAUACCCGGCGGCGAAGGCGGCCCCCUGGACGAAGACUGACGCUCAGGUGCGAAAGCGUGGGGAGCAAACAGGAUUAGAUACCCUGGUAGUCCACGCCGUAAACGAUGUCGACUUGGAGGUUGUGCCCUUGAGGCGUGGCUUCCGGAGCUAACGCGUUAAGUCGACCGCCUGGGGAGUACGGCCGCAAGGUUAAAACUCAAAUGAAUUGACGGGGGCCCGCACAAGCGGUGGAGCAUGUGGUUUAAUUCGAUGCAACGCGAAGAACCUUACCUGGUCUUGACAUCCACGGAAGUUUUCAGAGAUGAGAAUGUGCCUUCGGGAGCCGUGAGACAGGUGCUGCAUGGCUGUCGUCAGCUCGUGUUGUGAAAUGUUGGGUUAAGUCCCGCAACGAGCGCAACCCUUAUCCUUUGUUGCCAGCGGUCCGGCCGGGAACUCAAAGGAGACUGCCAGUGAUAAACUGGAGGAAGGUGGGGAUGACGUCAAGUCAUCAUGGCCCUUACGACCAGGGCUACACACGUGCUACAAUGGCGCAUACAAAGAGAAGCGACCUCGCGAGAGCAAGCGGACCUCAUAAAGUGCGUCGUAGUCCGGAUUGGAGUCUGCAACUCGACUCCAUGAAGUCGGAAUCGCUAGUAAUCGUGGAUCAGAAUGCCACGGUGAAUACGUUCCCGGGCCUUGUACACACCGCCCGUCACACCAUGGAAGUGGGUUGCAAAAGAAGUAGGUAGCUUAACCUUCGGGAGGGCGCUUACCACUUUGUGAUUCAUGACUGG
Molecule: ribosomal RNA, 1456 nt
Filed under: uncultured organism
Description: SSU rRNA
Rfam family: Bacterial small subunit ribosomal RNA
Source: RNAcentral